UGAAUUCCGUGCCGCGGUUGAGUAUGA
RNAcentral lists this small RNA (27 nucleotides) under Bombyx mori (domestic silkworm). RNAcentral's name for it is "ovarian small RNA-31238". The record is from RNAcentral. Lineage: Eukaryota; Metazoa; Arthropoda; Insecta; Lepidoptera; Bombycidae.